CCUACGGGGCGCAGCAGUGAGGAAUAUUGGUCAAUGGUCGGGAGACUGAACCAGCCAAGCCGCGUGAGGGAUGAAGGUACAGAGUAUCGUAAACCUCUUUUGUCAGGGAACAAAGGCGGGGACGUGUCCCCGGAUGAGUGUACCUGAAGAAAAAGCAUCGGCUAACUCCGUGCCAGCAGCCGCGGUAAUACGGAGGGUGCAAGCGUUGUCCGGAAUCAUUGGGCGUAAAGAGUUCGUAGGCGGUAUGUUAAGUCUGGUGUUAAAUUCAGAAGCUCAACUUCUGUUCGGCACUGGAUACUGGCAAA
Molecule: ribosomal RNA, 305 nt
Filed under: uncultured bacterium
Lineage: Bacteria
Description: bacterial SSU rRNA
Rfam family: Bacterial small subunit ribosomal RNA
Source: RNAcentral